This 497-nucleotide ribosomal RNA is filed under the name uncultured bacterium. Its description in RNAcentral is "partial 16S ribosomal RNA". It matches the Rfam family "Bacterial small subunit ribosomal RNA", at positions 28 to 507 of the family's 1533-position model. The record is from RNAcentral.
GACGAACGCUGGCGGCGUGCCUAAUACAUGCCAGUUGAGCGCUGAAGGUUGGUACUUGUACCAACUGGAUGAGCAGCGAGCGGGUGAGUAACGCGUGGGGAAUCUGCCUUUGAGCGGGGGACAACAUUUGGAAACGAAUGCUAAUACCGCAUAAAAACUUUAAACACAAGUUUUAAGUUUGAAAGAUGCAAUUGCAUCACUCAAAGAUGAUCCCGCGUUGUAUUAGCUAGUUGGUGAGGUAAAGGCUCACCAAGGCGAUGAUACAUAGCCGACCUGAGAGGGUGAUCGGCCACAUUGGGACUGAGACACGGCCCAAACUCCUACGGGAGGCAGCAGUAGGAAAUCUUCGGCAAUGGACGAAAGUCUGACCGAGCAACGCCGCGUGAGUGAAGAAGGUUUUCGGAUCGUAAAACUCUGUUGGUAGAGAAGAACGUUGGUGAGAGUGGAAAGCUCAUCAAGUGACGGUAACUACCCAGAAAGGGACGGCUAACUACGUG